UACGAAGGGAGCUAGCGUUACUCGGAAUCAUUGGGCGUAAAGCGUGCGUAGGCGGCUUUAUAAGUCGGAAGUGAAAGCCUGGGGCUCAACCCCAGAAUUGCUUUCGAUACUGUAGAGCUAGAAUACCAGAGGGGAUGGCGGAAUUCCUAGUGUAGAGGUGAAAUUCGUAGAUAUUAGGAGGAACACCGGCGGCGAAGGCGGCCAUCUGGCUGGUUAUUGACGCUGUUGCACGAAAGCGUGGGGAGCAAACAGG
RNAcentral lists this ribosomal RNA (253 nucleotides) under uncultured bacterium. RNAcentral describes it as "partial 16S ribosomal RNA". It matches the Rfam family "Bacterial small subunit ribosomal RNA", at positions 524 to 776 of the family's 1533-position model. The record is from RNAcentral.